RNAcentral lists this long non-coding RNA (1678 nucleotides) under Triticum aestivum (bread wheat). Its description in RNAcentral is "long non-coding RNA (TAES_LNC024642)". Lineage: Eukaryota; Viridiplantae; Streptophyta; Magnoliopsida; Poales; Poaceae. The record is from RNAcentral.
GCAAACACAACGACACAACAUCUCCUGGGUAGUGAUUUUAUAAGAACUCCCAGUUAGCAAUGGCGAAGCGCCUCGCCGUCGCGCUCCUGCUGCUGGUCCUGCUCGCGUCCAGCGACGCGGGAGAGCUGAAUGGGAAGCACGGUGCUGGUAGUGCCGUCGGCGAGAUGAAGGCUCCGUUGCCCGACCCCGGGUUGCCGGCACCGGUUGUCGCGGGGGUACUGCCACCGGUUGUCGGGACAGCAUCAUCGGUUAUCGGGGGGGGAGUGCCUGGGGUCACUCCCCUUCCCGUUCGCAAAUCCAGCGCCAACAAGUCUCCAUGAUCAUCUAUGGUUCAUGUGCUAGCUUACAUACGAACUGAAGCUCAACUAGUUGUGGCUUUAGAUCUGCAGCUAUAGCACGUACCGGCCAGAAGAAAAUCACCGGCGUUUCGCUCAAGCGUCUGUGCCAACUACUUACUAUCUUUGUCGUGUGUAUUUCCUUUCAGUCCAGGUAAGUAUGUCUUCCCUACUUCACGACUUCCUUGAUGUGCUACAUGCAUCAACGGAAUAAAUAAAUAAAGGAUUUGUCGGUGUGAUCGCCUUCUUGGAUAGACAUAUCAACAGGUUGCAUAAUCGACCUACUGCUUAAUCAACACUGAUCACCAAAUCAAAAGUUGUGGAAUUCGUUUGUGCUUCAACAUAUGCUGGUAAUAUAUACACAGAUAACAGAACACUAUCAAGGUAACCAAACCAAUAAGAAUAUCGCAACAACAGCAAUCCAGCAGUACAGAUGUAGGGUGUAUGUGCACAGAUCCGAAACAACGAAAACAAGGGGAUCGAAAUCCAUGAUACAGAUGAAGCCUACAACUUUCUAUGCGAUUCCAGAAUGUGUUUUUACAACCUUUCCUGUUCAUCAAUGGCGUAGUCACUCGAUUGAUUGUGGUUCUCUCUGCAUCUCGCCAGCCAGUUUGGGAUCAGGUUAGGUCAUCCUCGUCCAAGGAAUCCCCGUCGUCGCCUCCUACAUCUUUCUUGAUGGCCUGCAGGUCACCUGUUGGUAGCUUCCUUGCGAGCCGAAUUACCUGCAGCGACCAAUCACGUCAGCCCAAGUGAAGACCCAGGCACAAUUGAAGUGAGAUGGAAUGGUCUUGUACUAGUUUGAUAAGAAAAUGAAAUGUAUCCUGUGAUCACUACUGAAGCACACAAGACUGGCACAAUAGAAAUGGUAGAAUCUGAUGAAUACAGUAUUAUAUAUUAAUUAAAAGGAACAUUCGCAAUAGCAUGUCGGCGCUUAGUCCCUUCUGAAUACUUCACCGUGUACUGGUGCUAAGUAUGUCACUUAGGCAAAAAGCAGAUGAGCAAUGUAAUUGUGGAGGAGAGAAGACUUUGGUGUCCUCAGAAAUAAACGAAUCCAGGCACAAGGCCCUGUGUAUAUUUUGACCCCGUUCAUAUCCCCUUGUCCUUGUCCCCUUGCUACCGCUUGAGCUUGCACAAAAGAUCCUACAGCUAACUAAAUGAACCUUAGAGACAACAAACUAGGCACCUAUGAAUUGGGGAGUUCAGUUCCCAGGCCUCCACACACACUAAGCACUUGCUCUAAGCACCUGUGCAUUAGGAGAGGCCUUAGUUAACAAUUCUAAGCACAUGCACCAUCAUAGAUCAUCUCAUAUAAUCGAUAGCCUUUUGACUAAGGAUCUCAAAAG